GACGAACGCUGGCGGCGCGCCUAACACAUGCAAGUCGAACGGAGCUUGCUUGUCAGAUCCUUUCGGGGUGACGACUUGUAAGCUUAGUGGCGAACGGGUGAGUAACACGUGAGUAACCUGCCCCAGAGUGGGGACGAACAGUUGGAAACGACUGCUAAUACCGCAUAAGCCCACGGAACCGCAUGGUUCUGGGGAAAAGGAGCAAUUCGCUCUGGGAUGGACUCGCGUCCGAUUAGCUGGAUGGUGAGGUAACGGCCCACCAUGGCGACGAUCGGUAGCCGGACUGAGAGGUUGAUCGGCCACAUUGGGACUGAGACACGGCCCAG
RNAcentral lists this ribosomal RNA (326 nucleotides) under uncultured bacterium. RNAcentral's name for it is "bacterial SSU rRNA". It matches the Rfam family "Bacterial small subunit ribosomal RNA", at positions 28 to 334 of the family's 1533-position model. The record is from RNAcentral.